CAACCCUCAAGCCCCCCCGGGGGCUCGGUGUUGGGGACCGGCCCCGCGUCAGCGGGUCGCCGCCCCCGAAAUGCAGUGGCGACAACGCCGCAGCCUCCUCUGCGUAGUAGCACUUGAAACCUCGCACCGGAGCGCGGCGCUGCCAGCCGUAAAACCCCAACUUCUGAAA
RNAcentral lists this unclassified non-coding RNA (169 nucleotides) under uncultured Hypomyces. Its description in RNAcentral is "sequence contains ITS2". Lineage: Eukaryota; Fungi; Ascomycota; Sordariomycetes; Hypocreales; Hypocreaceae. The record is from RNAcentral.